Patella vulgata (common limpet) is the source of this 1237-nucleotide long non-coding RNA. RefSeq lists it as uncharacterized. Lineage: Eukaryota; Metazoa; Mollusca; Gastropoda; Patellidae. The record is from RefSeq and is a predicted model, not a curated record. The transcript is spliced from 5 exons.
UAAUCUAAUGAAAAUUUCUGAGCGCUAUAUGUGGAUGGGUAUUAUUUUAUAAUUAGACUAAGAGCUGUCAAAGACUGUAUUAUUCAAUCUAAUUUAUAAUUUAACCUGCUAAAGGCUAAGAUCGGGCAGUGAUAGUUUGGACAUUUUAGCAUGUUAAAAGCACGUUUGUCUUCGUACCCUUACAUUGGCAGUGCGCGUCUGUACUAAAUUGAUUUAAAAUGACAUGGAAGCAACUUGAAAGAGAUAUUUUGGUGGAUGGCCGAAUGGUUAACGUGUGCGCGCUGUAUCAUACGGCCUGCCAUUGGGUCAACUGGCGUGGUUUCGAAUCCCCGGUUGUACGUGGCAAGGAGGAGGGUCGCCUGUCCAAUCUCGUGGGUUUUCUCCGGUUUCAUCCCACUACUAAAGAUCCCUACCAAAGGUGAAUUAUUUCAAUGUCUCCCUUUUUAUAUUAUUUUAGAACAUUACAAUUUAUGUAACAUUUUUUCAGGGUCCAAACCAUACAUACUCUGCAGAUGGUCAUGACAAGUUAAUGGGGUUUCAGAGGAAAAUGUUCCCAUUUGCUAUAUAUGGUGUCCAAGAUGUUUACAGCUGUAAGCUUUUGUAUGUUAAAGUAGGAAAAACAAAUAAAAAUCCCAAGAUUAUUGGGAAAUGGUAUCAUGAAUUCAUUAGCAGAACUGGAGUGAUAAGUCAGAUUUUGCGCCUGGACAAAGGAUCAGAAAACGGUCACAUGGCAACUAUCCAUGCCUAUUUGCAGAGUACUGAAUUUGAAAAUCCAGAAGAUUCUGUUAUAUUUGGAUCUUCAACAUCCAACAAGAUAGAAAGAUGGUGGCGUGAACUUCACUCUCGUCUUGUUAAGUACUUUAAGGAAAAAUUCCAGUAUUUAUUCGAUCAGGGUUAUUACAACCCUGAUGAGAUUACAGACAGAGAAAUACUUGCACUAGUUUAUUUACCACUGGUUCAAGAGGAAAUCAAUAAGUUUGUAGAACUCUGGAAUAACCAUCGCAUGAGGAAACAAAACAGUGAUCUGCCCAAAGGAAUUCCCAACCACCUGUAUGACUUUCCAGAAACAUAUGGCUCUACUGAAUGUGGAUCAAGAGUGUCUGAAGCAGAGUUAGAGGAUGUAAAAAACUUAGCUGAUGUAUUAGAUGAUGGCGCUUUUGUUGACAAAGAGUUAGAAAGGCGAAGCAAGGAACUAUUGCCCAAUCUAUCAGAAUUGGAAUUAACUGAUGCUCUUGAA